CUCAGGACGAACGCUGGCGGCGUGCUUAACACAUGCAAGUCGAACGAUGAACCACUUCGGUGGGGAUUAGUGGCGAACGGGUGAGUAACACGUGGGCAAUCUGCCCUUCACUCUGGGACAAGCCCUGGAAACGGGGUCUAAUACCGGAUGAUACUUCUGCUCGCAUGGGUGGGGGUUGAAAGCUCCGGCGGUGAAGGAUGAGCCCGCGGCCUAUCAGCUUGUUGGUGAGGUAGUGGCUCACCAAGGCGACGACGGGUAGCCGGCCUGAGAGGGCGACCGGCCACACUGGGACUGAGACACGGCCCAGACUCCUACGGGAGGCAGCAGUGGGGAAUAUUGCACAAUGGGCGAAAGCCUGAUGCAGCGACGCCGCGUGAGGGAUGACGGCCUUCGGGUUGUAAACCUCUUUCAGCAGGGAAGAAGCGAAAGUGACGGUACCUGCAGAAGAAGCGCCGGCUAACUACGUGCCAGCAGCCGCGGUAAUACGUAGGGCGCAAGCGUUGUCCGGAAUUAUUGGGCGUAAAGAGCUCGUAGGCGGUCUGUCGCGUCGGAUGUGAAAGCCCGGGGCUUAACCCCGGGUCUGCAUUCGAUACGGGCAGACUAGAGUGUGGUAGGGAGAUCGAA
This 624-nucleotide ribosomal RNA is filed under the name Actinomycetales bacterium A280. Its description in RNAcentral is "bacterial SSU rRNA". It matches the Rfam family "Bacterial small subunit ribosomal RNA", at positions 23 to 666 of the family's 1533-position model. Lineage: Bacteria; Bacillati; Actinomycetota; Actinomycetes; Actinomycetales. The record is from RNAcentral.